RNAcentral lists this ribosomal RNA (433 nucleotides) under uncultured bacterium. Its description in RNAcentral is "partial 16S ribosomal RNA". It matches the Rfam family "Bacterial small subunit ribosomal RNA", at positions 29 to 507 of the family's 1533-position model. The record is from RNAcentral.
AACGAACGCUGGCGGCAUGCCUAACACAUGCAAGUCGAACGAGACCUUCGGGUCUAGUGGCGCACGGGUGCGUAACGCGUGGGAACCUGCCCUUAGGUUCGGAAUAACUCCCCGAAAGGGGUGCUAAUACCGGAUAAUGUCUUCGGACCAAAGAUUUAUCGCCUUUGGAUGGGCCCGCGUUGGAUUAGCUAGUUGGUAGGGUAAAAGCCUACCAAGGCGACGAUCCAUAGCUGGUCUGAGAGGAUGAUCAGCCACACUGGGACUGAGACACGGCCCAGACUCCUACGGGAGGCAGCAGUGGGGAAUGUUGGACAAUGGGUGAAAGCCUGAUCCAGCAAUGCCGCGUGAGUGAUGAAGGCCUUAGGGUUGUAAAGCUCUUUUACCCGGGAUGAUAAUGACAGUACCGGGAGAAUAAGCUCCGGCUAACUCCGUG